This 83-nucleotide ribosomal RNA is filed under the name uncultured bacterium. RNAcentral describes it as "partial 16S ribosomal RNA". The record is from RNAcentral.
GAAGCCCCUUGGGGGUGGUAAACUCCUUUCGAUCGGGACGAUUAUGACGGUACCGGAUGAAGAAGCACCGGCUAACUCUGUGC